ACCAAGAACUCCUGAACUUGAGAGUGGACGACUUCAAAGCUAGCUCUCACAGACUCACCUGGAAAAGAGUUCAGCUGCGCGUUCAUUGAACCGAGAGGCCAGAUCACCUAUGUGAGGCGGUGGGAACCAUAUGGAGAUUUAUAUUAGAACUUCAGCAAAGUGCACAGCUGCAGCCGGCAGAAGCCAGCUCUCGGGCUGACAGGCAAAUGAACCAGAUCGUGGACGGGGCCUCUGGGUGGCAGCUCCGGCCUUUUGGUUGUUGGACAACUAUAGUCAGAACUGAAAUGGAACAGGGGCAGGAGAAAUAACACACUUUUACUCCACGCAACUGUUGCUUUCACAUGAUCUUCAGGAAUGUAACUGGGAUAAUUGUCCAAAUUGAAUCCCAUACCCUGUCAUGGUACUGAUUAUUAAGGUGACUAUAUGAAAGGAUCACUCCAAAAUAACACAUACCAGAAUAGGAGUCCUGUCUUAACUGAGCAAUAUACACUAUGGAGAGAUCCUUCAAAACCCGUCGGGACGAAUAACAGAUGAAUUCAUAAAACUGUUCAUCUCUGUAAGUAACAUCCUGUUAACAGAAGUUUUGUAUAUAGAAUUAAGUUUAAUAUUGACUUAAGUGAGGUCUUUGUGUAUAUUAGAAUACCUUAGUGUUUGGGGAUUUUUUGUUUGUUUUGUUGUUAUUGUUAAUAUUUAUUACAUAAUUUUAAAAGAUUAUGUGGUACCUUGAUGCCUUUAACAAAUCUUUUCAUAGAAAUGUUUGGUUUGUAAACAUGUCUGAAUGAUGAAAUAACUGUAUUUAAGUGCUUCCCCAUAAGAUAAAGGCUGAGUUUUCAUAAAAGAAGGCAAGAAGGUCAAGGAGCAGAUUUUAAAUCUGAUGUUCCCACACCUGAAUUCUGUCAUGGGAGCUAUUAUAUAAUUUUAUAUGAUAAGGUUUUUUUUUGAGCUACAUUUACAAGUUGCAAUAAGAUAGCCUACUUAUUAGAUGGUAACAAUUUUAGAUUUUAUGAGCGAUUUUAACCAGUAACUUAAGACAUUAGACACCUUUAGUGUGCAAAGCAGUUCUGAAGUUCAGGCAGUGGAUGAAAGUGUCUCUAGUGUCUUAAAGCAAUCUUUGUAUCUCCACCACCACACAUGAUUUUUGCCCCCUGUGAUACAGUAAUCUACUUAAUGCACGAGUUUGAUCUUAGUUACAUUUGUAUUUUCCGUUUGCCAUGCCAAUGAGAAUCAGAUGAAUUACCAGUUAGUAGAAAUGAGAAUUAGAACUACCUUAAUUGGUAUGCUUAUCACAUACUUAUAACUCUGCCAGCUUCCUCUUGAUAUGCUGUAGCACAUUGUUCACUUGGGUGUAGAACAAACUCAAAUUAGAAUUUUAAAAAAUAUAUUAUGAUUACCUUUGGGUUAAUUUAUACGUGUGUGCAUAUAUGGAGUCGAUUUUGUUUGUAAUUUUACAUCGUGAUUAAUGGCAUUGUUUACAAAUUACUGCUUUUCGAAAUAAGGAUUGAAGUGUAUGAAUAGAUCAUAUCAGUCAACACUAAAAUUCAUGGAAGUUAGAAGUUUCUAGAAAUUUAUUCUCAUAAGUUCUUUUCAUCCUUGAGUUUAUAGCUGAGAUACUAUUUGAUGUACCACUUUCCUUUAAUAGUAAAAAAUUAAUGCCGUCAAAUAUGUCAAGUUUUUGCUAAAACACAUCCUUAAAUUUGCUACCAUUAACCAAA
RNAcentral lists this long non-coding RNA (1712 nucleotides) under Mus musculus (house mouse). RNAcentral describes it as "Mir99a and Mirlet7c-1 host gene". The record is from RNAcentral. Lineage: Eukaryota; Metazoa; Chordata; Mammalia; Rodentia; Muridae.